UACGUAGGGUGCAAGCGUUGUCCGGAAUUAUUGGGCGUAAAGAGCUCGUAGGCGGUGUGUCGCGUCGGCCGUGAAAACCUGCAGCUUAACUGUGGGCUUGCGGUCGAUACGGGCAUCACUGGAGUUCGGCAGGGGAGACUGGAAUUCCUGGUGUAGCGGUGAAAUGCGUAGAUAUCUGGAGGAACACCGGUGGCGAAGGCGGCUCACUGGACUGGUAUUGACGCUGAGGUGCGAAAGCGUGGGGAGCAAACAGG
Molecule: ribosomal RNA, 254 nt
Filed under: uncultured bacterium
Lineage: Bacteria
Description: partial 16S ribosomal RNA
Rfam family: Bacterial small subunit ribosomal RNA
Source: RNAcentral